RNAcentral lists this ribosomal RNA (580 nucleotides) under uncultured rumen bacterium. RNAcentral's name for it is "bacterial SSU rRNA". It matches the Rfam family "Bacterial small subunit ribosomal RNA", at positions 184 to 783 of the family's 1533-position model. The record is from RNAcentral.
UGCCGCAUGGCAGAGGGUGGAAAGAUUUAUCGGUGCAGGAUGGGCCCGCGUCGGAUUAACUAGCUGGCAGGGUAACGGCCUACCAAGGUUAUGAUCCGUAGCCGACCUGAGAGGGUGACCGGCCACAUUGGGACUGAGACACGGCCCAAACUCCUACGGGAGGCAGCAGUGGGGGAUAUUGCACAAUGGGCGGAAGCCUGAUGCAGCGACGCCGCGUGAAGGAAGAAGUAUUUCGGUAUGUAAACUUCUAUCAGCGGGGAAGAAGAUGACGGUACCCGACUAAGAAGCCCCGGCUAACUACGUGCCAGCAGCCGCGGUAAUACGUAGGGGGCAAGCGUUAUCCGGAUUUACUGGGUGUAAAGGGAGCGUAGACGGCAGGGCAAGUCCGAUGUGAAAACCCGGGGCUCAACCGCGGGAUUGCAUUGGAAACUGCUCGGCUCGAGUACUGGAGGGGUAAGCGGAAUUCCUAGUGUAGCGGUGAAAUGCGUAGAUAUUAGGAGGAACACCGGCGGCGAAGGCGGCUUACUGGACAGUAACUGACGUUGAGGCUCGAAAGCGUGGGGAGCAAACAGGAUUAGAU